AGGACGAACGCUGGCGGCGUGCUUAACACAUGCAAGUCGAGCGGAAAGGCCCUUCGGGGUACACGAGCGGCGAACGGGUGAGUAACACGUGGGUGACCUGCCCUUAGCUCUGGGAUAAGCCUGGGAAACUGGGUCUAAUACCGGAUAUGACCUCGCGAUGCAUGUCGUGGGGUGAAAGCCUUGUGCGGCUAGGGAUGGGCCCGCGGCCUAUCAGCUUGUUGGUGGGGUGAUGGCCUACCAAGGCGACGACGGGUAGCCGGCCUGAGAGGGCGACCGGCCACACUGGGACUGAGACACGGCCCAGACUCCUACGGGAGGCAGCAGUGGGGAAUCUUGCGCAAUGGGCGAAAGCCUGACGCAGCGACGCCGCGUGAGGGAUGACGGCCUCGGUUGGUAAACCUCUUUCUAGCCCUGACGAAGCGAAAGUGACGGUAGGGCGAGAGAAGCACCGGCCACUACGCGCCAGCAGCCGC
RNAcentral lists this ribosomal RNA (473 nucleotides) under uncultured bacterium. RNAcentral's name for it is "SSU rRNA". It matches the Rfam family "Bacterial small subunit ribosomal RNA", at positions 26 to 518 of the family's 1533-position model. The record is from RNAcentral.